GACGGAGGGUGCUAGCGUUGUUCGGAAUUACUGGGCGUAAAGGGCGCGUAGGCGGCCUGUUAAGUCGGUUGUGAAAGCCCGGGGCUCAACCCCGGAACGGCAGCCGAGACUGGCGGGCUCGAGACCGGGAGAGGUGGGUGGAAUACCCAAUGUAGAGGUGAAAUUCGUAGAUAUUGGGUGGAACACCGGUGGCGAAGGCGGCGUCCUGGACCAACACUGACACUGAUGAGCGAAAGCCAGGGGAGCAAACGGG
Molecule: ribosomal RNA, 253 nt
Filed under: uncultured bacterium
Lineage: Bacteria
Description: partial 16S ribosomal RNA
Rfam family: Bacterial small subunit ribosomal RNA
Source: RNAcentral